AUGGGAAAAACGGCAGAAUGUCCUCAAUGUCCUCGGCAGGGAAUCCCAUAUCAGAAAGACAAGAGAGCUCAGAAUUGCCCUCGGCAGAGAAUCCCAUAUCAGAAAGACAACAGAGCCCACGCCUGUGGUAGAAAGUCCCAUAGUAGAAUGAGAACAGAGCUCAAUGCCCUUGAAAGCCCCAUAUCAGAAUGUAAACAGAACUUGAGAAAUUCCUCCACCCCUUCUGAAAAUCCCCUAAACCAGCCUAUAAAAAACCCAGCUGUAACCUACUUCGAGGUCCAAGUCCCUGCUCUGCUGUGUCGGGUAUACUUGGACCCAAGCUGGAGCUUGCUAAUAAACCCUCGUGAGUUUGCAUUGGUGUCGGCUCCUUGGUGGUUUCCCGGAUUCGCAAUCUUGGGCACAACAGAGAGAACUUUGGUCUGGUGUGGGUGCAGACAGAUCACAAUGAAAAAGUAUUUGUUUACAUCAAGAAAAAUGAUUGUCCGUGGUUCAAAAUAUUGUUUCUUCAUAAGAGAGAAAUCAUCUUUUCUUUAG
RNAcentral lists this long non-coding RNA (534 nucleotides) under Canis lupus familiaris (dog). RNAcentral's name for it is "lncRNA (ENSCAFG00030014428.1)". Lineage: Eukaryota; Metazoa; Chordata; Mammalia; Carnivora; Canidae. The record is from RNAcentral.